UACGAAGGGUGCAAGCGUUACUCGGAAUUACUGGGCGUAAAGCGUGCGUAGGUGGUUUGUUAAGUCUGUUGUGAAAGCCCCGGGCUCAACCUGGGAAUGGCAAUGGAUACUGGCAAGCUAGAGUGCGGUAGAGGGUAGUGGAAUUCCCGGUGUAGCGGUGAAAUGCGCAGAUAUCAGGAGGAACACCAAUAGCGAAGGCAGCUCGCUAGGACGGUACUGACGCUAAGGCGCGAAAGCGUGGGGAGCGAACAGG
This 253-nucleotide ribosomal RNA is filed under the name uncultured bacterium. RNAcentral's name for it is "partial 16S ribosomal RNA". It matches the Rfam family "Bacterial small subunit ribosomal RNA", at positions 524 to 776 of the family's 1533-position model. The record is from RNAcentral.